GACGAACGCUGGCGGCGUGCCUAAUACAUGCAAGUUGAGCGCUGAAGGUUGGUACUUGUACCGACUGGAUGAGCAGCGAACGGGUGAGUAACGCGUGGGGAAUCUGCCUUUGAGCGGGGGACAACAUUUGGAAACGAAUGCUAAUACCGCAUAAAAACUUUAAACACAAGUUUUAAGUUUGAAAGAUGCAAUUGCAUCACUCAAAGAUGAUCCCGCGUUGUAUUAGCUAGUUGGUGAGGUAAAGGCUCACCAAGGCGAUGAUACAUAGCCGACCUGAGAGGGUGAUCGGCCACAUUGGGACUGAGACACGGCCCAAACUCCUACGGGAGGCAGCAGUAGGGAAUCUUCGGCAAUGGACGAAAGUCUGACCGAGCAACGCCGCGUGAGUGAAGAAGGUUUUCGGAUCGUAAAACUCUGUUGGUAGAGAAGAACGUUGGUGAGGGUGGAAAGCUCAUCAAGUGACGUUAACUACCCAGAAAGGGACGGCUAACUACGUG
This 497-nucleotide ribosomal RNA is filed under the name uncultured bacterium. Its description in RNAcentral is "partial 16S ribosomal RNA". It matches the Rfam family "Bacterial small subunit ribosomal RNA", at positions 28 to 507 of the family's 1533-position model. The record is from RNAcentral.